This 429-nucleotide ribosomal RNA is filed under the name Actinomycetes bacterium. Its description in RNAcentral is "Actinobacteria bacterium partial 16S ribosomal RNA". It matches the Rfam family "Bacterial small subunit ribosomal RNA", at positions 355 to 776 of the family's 1533-position model. Lineage: Bacteria; Bacillati; Actinomycetota; Actinomycetes. The record is from RNAcentral.
UAGGGAAUCUUCCGCAAUGGGCGAAAGCCUGACGGAGCAACGCCGCGUGAGUGAUGAAGGUCUUCGGAUCGUAAAACUCUGUUAUUAGGGAAGAACAAAUGUGUAAGUAACUAUGCACGUCUUGACGGUACCUAAUCAGAAAGCCACGGCUAACUACGUGCCAGCAGCCGCGGUAAUACGUAGGUGGCAAGCGAUAUCCGGAAUUAUUGGGCGUAAAGCGCGCGUAGGCGGUUUAUUAAGUCUGAUGUGAAAGCCCACGGCUAAACCGUUGAGUGUCAUUGGAAACUGGAAAUCUUGAGUGCAGAAGGGGAAAGUGGAAUUCCAUGUGUAGCGGUGAAAUGCGCAGCAAUAUGGGGAAACACCAGUGGCGAAGGCGACUUUAUGGUCUGUAACUGACGCUAAUUUGCGAAAGCGUGGGGAUCAAACAGG